Long non-coding RNA from Astatotilapia calliptera (eastern happy), 1038 nucleotides. NCBI's taxonomy places the organism in Eukaryota, Metazoa, Chordata, Actinopteri, Cichliformes, Cichlidae. The record is from Ensembl.
GUGUGCCGUCUGAACUGGAUUUCAGUCUGAACUGAUGUCCGUGUGGGUCCUACAGAGAAUCAGAGUUGGAAAAGUUGUUAAUGUAGCAAAAAACAAAAUGUAUUGCAUUUUGUUCAUAAUCUCUUUAAAGUCAUGAUCGUUUUUUUUUUUACCGCUUUCACUGGAGUGGGUAAAUGAGUCUGCAAAGUUAAAAAAACUGAUUUACAUUUCUUGUUUAUUACUUUUAUUGGACAUCAUCCGAUCUCAUUUAUACACAUUUAAGAUAUAAAGUAGAAAAUAUCCUUUUGUUUGCAUUUGGAGACUCGGUAUUUGACCAUCCCAAAUAUCUGGACCAGGGAACCAACUCCUCAAACUGGUAAAAAGGUCAAUUACACAGUUACACGAUCGCUAAACUAACCUGUUUUUGAAUAAAAGAAAACCAUACAAGCAUGAGCCCUGGAAUCUCGGUUGUAAAAAAAAAAAAAAAAAAAAAAAGAAGCACUACACAUUACUUUUCUUAUGUUUAGCAUACAGGAGUUGCUGCUCACACCCUGAGUUGCACUAAUGUGUCUGUCAGAUGCCCCAAAUGGAAUGUCAGGCCGCAUGCGCACUCAUACCGGACACCUCCUGACCUUAUUUCCACGAGCCCUUGACUCAGCUGCAAAGUGCUUACGGGGUCAGUUUCCUUUUCAUCAGAAUUAUCUGCUGUCAUUCAGACAUAAGUUGAGCAAUGGUUUAACCAAUUUUCCAUCAAAGGGAUGUUGGAAUUAAACAGAGGAUGUAAGUUAAGGAAAUAUAAGUCUGACUAUGGAGCACAUCUCCUUCAGUGUUAACAAUAAUGGAUUGCAUUUCUCUCAGUCAACUGACUGUUUAGGGGGGAAAGCAGCUAAUAGUUAGUGGGCUCUGUGUUUGUGGUUGUUGUAUGUUAAUCACACUAGGAGUGAACAAAAGCAGAAAAAAACCCUGUAAAGAUGCAGACUGUGAAAGUCUGGUUUAUACCAUAAAUCUUACCAGCUGUAACUGGGUUUUUUGUGUUUUAAGUUAUAAGCACGUGUCAAG